RNAcentral lists this long non-coding RNA (786 nucleotides) under Oryctolagus cuniculus (rabbit). RNAcentral's name for it is "lncRNA (ENSOCUG00000032690.1)". The record is from RNAcentral. Lineage: Eukaryota; Metazoa; Chordata; Mammalia; Lagomorpha; Leporidae.
GCUCUGUCCUCACCACACAGGGCUCUGUCCUCACCACACAGAGCUCUUCCCUCACCACACAGGCUCUGCCCUCACCACACAGCUCUGUCCACUCCACACAGUGCUCUGUCCUCACCACACAGGGCUCUGUCCUCACUACACAGGCUCUGCCCUCACCACACAGAGCUCUGCCCUCACCACACAGAGCUCUGCCCUCACCACACAGAGCUCUUCCCUCACCACACAGGGCUCUGUCCUCACCACACAGGUAUGUCCUCACCACACAGGGCUCUGUCCUCACCACACAGGGCUCUGCCCUCACCACACAGGGCUCUGUCCUCACCACACAGGGCUCUGUCCUCACCACACAGGGCUCUGUCCUCACCACACAGAGCUCUUCCCUCACCACACAGGCUCUGCCCUCACCACACAGGGCUCUGCCCUCACCACACAGGUCUGUCCUCACCACACAGGUCUGUCCUCACCACACAGGGCUCUGUCCUCACCACACAGGUAUGUCCUCACCACACAGGGCUCUGUCUUCACCACACAGGGCUCUGCCCUCACCACACAGGGCUCUGUCCUCAUCACACAGGGCUCUGUCCUUACACACAGCACUCUCUUCGCACCUUAAUAUUGGAUUUCUUGGGCUCCUGGACAGUGAGAAAUAAAUGCUCUUCGCUCUGUGCCAGCCAGUAUUUCGUAGUUUUUCAGCAUCCCAAAUCACUAAGAAAAGCCUCUAAAGAAUUAUUGAUAGCUCUCUCAGUGGCUUGCUGUGGGCCCACACUGAACUCAGGCACUUUGUAA